Molecule: long non-coding RNA, 333 nt
Filed under: Bos indicus x Bos taurus (hybrid cattle)
Lineage: Eukaryota; Metazoa; Chordata; Mammalia; Artiodactyla; Bovidae
Description: lncRNA (ENSBIXG00005028835.1)
Source: RNAcentral
AGCCUGAAACAGUGUCCCUCUGUUACCCACAUCCCUAGCCUCCAUUCUUCUCUGUCUCCAGUGUGCACGUCUUGCUGCUCAUUCUCAGCACUGUUUGCCCCUGGUGGAGCUGAUGGAAAGGAUGCUUCUUAAAUUUUACAGCACAAGGAGGAAGAGACAAGAGCUCACUCUUUUCUUCAAAUGGAUUUCCCUGCCUUUGGUGAGUGCUUAAUUAAAAUGAGAAAAAGGUGGGAGUUCCCUGGUGGUCCAGUGUUUAGGACUCAGCGCUUUCACUGAGUCCAACCCCUGGUCAGGGAACUGAGAUCCCACAAGUCAUGUGGUGCAGCCAAAAGU